This 562-nucleotide ribosomal RNA is filed under the name Dothiorella sp. JL599. RNAcentral's name for it is "eukaryotic LSU rRNA". The stretch from base 194 to 347 matches the Rfam family "5.8S ribosomal RNA". Lineage: Eukaryota; Fungi; Ascomycota; Dothideomycetes; Botryosphaeriales; Botryosphaeriaceae. The record is from RNAcentral.
UCCGUAGGUGAACCUGCGGAAGGAUCAUUACCGAGUUGAUUCGAGCUCCGGCUCGACUCUCCCACCCUUUGUGUACCUACCUCUGUUGCUUUGGCGGGCCCGCGGUCGGCCUCGUGCCGUCCAGCACCCGCCAGAGGACCACAAAACUCCAGUCAGUAAACGUCUCAGUCUGAAAAACAAGUUAAUAAACUAAAACUUUCAACAACGGAUCUCUUGGUUCUGGCAUCGAUGAAGAACGCAGCGAAAUGCGAUAAGUAAUGUGAAUUGCAGAAUUCAGUGAAUCAUCGAAUCUUUGAACGCACAUUGCGCCCCUUGGUAUUCCGGGGGGCAUGCCUGUUCGAGCGUCAUUUCAACCCUCAAGCUCUGCUUGGUAUUGGGCUCCGUCCUCAGGGACGCGCCUCAAAGACCUCGGCGGUGGCGUCUUGCCUCAAGCGUAGUAGAAAACACCUCGCUUUGGAGCGCAUGGCGUCGCCCGCCGGACGAACCUUUGAAUUUUUCUCAAGGUUGACCUCGGAUCAGGUAGGGAUACCCGCUGAACUUAAGCAUAUCAAUAAGCGGAGGA